Molecule: unclassified non-coding RNA, 376 nt
Filed under: soil metagenome
Description: partial contains 5.8S ribosomal RNA, internal transcribed spacer 2, and large subunit ribosomal RNA
Rfam family: 5.8S ribosomal RNA (bases 1-120)
Source: RNAcentral
GAUGAAAAACGUAGCGAAAUGCGAUAAGUAAUAUGAAUUGCAGAAUUCAGUGAAUCAUCGAAUCUUUGAACGCAUCUUGCGCUCCUUGGUAUUCUGAGGAGCAUGCCUGUUUGAGUGUCAUUAAAUUCUCAACUACACUGACUUUGAAUUGGUGUGGCUUGGAUUUGGGGGGAAAAUUGUUGUGGGCUUUUUGUAUAGUCUGCUCCCCUGAAAUUGAUUAGCGGUACCUUUGUGGAACUGUCUACAGGUGUGAUAAUUAUCUACAUCUUAGACAUCUGCUGGAAUGCUGCUUUCUAAACCUUACUUGUAUUGACAAUCUUGACCUCAAAUCAGGUAGGACUACCCGCUGAACUUAAGCAUAUCAAUAAGCGGAGGA